AGCAGCCGCGGUAAUUCCAGCUCCAAUAGCGUAUAUUAAAGUUGUUGCAGUUAAAAAGCUCGUAGUUGAAUUUCGGGAUUUAUCCGUCGGUCGGGCUUUUGGGUCUGUACUGGCGUGAUGAAUUCCUACCUUCUGAAUAACCAGCAUGCCAUUAAUUUGGUGCGCCGGGGAAGCAGGACUGUUACCUUGAAAAAAUUAGAGUGCUUAAAGCAGGCUAUUGCCUGAAUACAUUAGCAUGGAAUAAUGAAAUAGGACGGCAUGGUUCUAUUUUGUUGGUUUCUAGGAUCACCGUAAUGAUUAAUAGGGAUAGUUGGGGGCAUUAGUAUUCAAUUGUCAGAGGUGAAAUUCUUGGAUUUAUUGAAGACUAACUUCUGCGAAAGCAUUUGCCAAGGAUGUUUUCAUUAAUCAAGAACGAAAGUUAGGGGAUCGAAGACGAUCAGAUACCGUCGUAGUCUUAACCAUAAACUAUGCCGACUAGGGAUCGGACGAUGUUAAUUUUUAACUGUACUCGUUCGGCCGU
RNAcentral lists this unclassified non-coding RNA (520 nucleotides) under uncultured Acaulospora. RNAcentral describes it as "SSU rRNA". It matches the Rfam family "Eukaryotic small subunit ribosomal RNA", at positions 569 to 1087 of the family's 1831-position model. The record is from RNAcentral. Lineage: Eukaryota; Fungi; Glomeromycota; Glomeromycetes; Diversisporales; Acaulosporaceae.